RNAcentral lists this ribosomal RNA (1247 nucleotides) under Foxtail yellow decline phytoplasma UPM-1. Its description in RNAcentral is "bacterial SSU rRNA". It matches the Rfam family "Bacterial small subunit ribosomal RNA", at positions 153 to 1400 of the family's 1533-position model. Lineage: Bacteria; Bacillati; Mycoplasmatota; Mollicutes; Acholeplasmatales; Acholeplasmataceae. The record is from RNAcentral.
GAAACGACUGCUAAGACUGGAUAGGAAAUUAGAAGGCAUCUUUUAAUUUUUAAAAGACCUUUUUCGAAAGGUAUACUUAAGGAGGGGCUUGCGGCACAUUAGUUAGUUGGUAGGGUAAAAGCCUACCAAGACCAUGAUGUGUAGCUGGACUGAGAGGUUGAACAGCCACAUUGGGACUGAGACACGGCCCAAACUCCUACGGGAGGCAGCAGUAGGGAAUUUUCGGCAAUGGAGGAAACUCUGACCGAGCAACGCCGCGUGAACGAUGAAGUAUUUCGGUAUGUAAAGUUCUUUUAUUGAAGAAGAAAAAAUAGUGGAAAAACUAUCUUGACGAUAUUCAAUGAAUAAGCCCCGGCAAACUAUGUGCCAGCAGCCGCGGUAAUACAUAGGGGGCGAGCGUUAUCCGGAAUUAUUGGGCGUAAAGGGUGCGUAGGCGGUUUGGUAAGUCUAUAGUUUAAUUUCAGUGCUUAACACUGUUCUGCUAUAGAAACUAUCAGACUAGGGUGAGAUAGAGGCAAGUGGAAUUCCAUGCGUAGCGGUAAAAUGCGUAAAUAUAUGGAGGAACACCGGAGGCGUAGGCGGCUUGCUGGGUCUUUACUGACGCUGAGGCACGAAAGCGUGGGGAGCAAACAGGAUUAGAUACCCUGGUAGUCCACGCCGUAAACGAUGAGUACUAAGUGUCGGGGAAACUCGGUACCGAAGUUAACACAUUAAGUACUCCGCCUGAGUAGUACGUACGCAAGUAUGAAACUUAAAGGAAUUGACGGGACUCCGCACAAGCGGUGGAUCAUGUUGUUUAAUUCGAAGAUACACGAAAAACCUUACCAGGUCUUGGCAUACUCUGCAAAGCUAUAGCAAUAUAGUGGAGGUUAUCAGGGAUACAGGUGGUGCAUGGUUGUCGUCAGCUCGUGUCGUGAGAUGUUAGGUUAAGUCCUAAACGAGCGCAACCCUUGUCACUAGUUGCCAGCAUGUUAUGAUGGGCACUUUAGUGAGACUGCCAAUGAAAAAUUGGAGGAAGGUGAGGAUCACGUCAAAUCAUCAUGCCCCUUAUGAUCUGGGCUACAAACGUGAUACAAUGGCUGUUACAAAGAGUAGCUAAAACGCGAGUUUAUAGCCAAUCUCAUAAAAGCAGUCUCAGUUCGGAUUGAAGUCUGCAACUCGACUUCAUGAAGUUGGAAUCGCUAGUAAUCGCGAAUCAGCAUGUCGCGGUGAAUACGUUCUCGGGGUUUGUACACACGGCCCGUCAA